Vicia villosa (hairy vetch) is the source of this 841-nucleotide long non-coding RNA. RefSeq lists it as uncharacterized. The record is from RefSeq and is a predicted model, not a curated record. The transcript is spliced from 5 exons. Lineage: Eukaryota; Viridiplantae; Streptophyta; Magnoliopsida; Fabales; Fabaceae.
UCUCUAUUCACCAACUAAUUCAACGAUUCAUCUCUUUUUCUUUCAUUUCAUUUUACGCAUUCUCUCUUUCAAACCAAAAUCGUGAAAAAUCAAAACCCUAAAAAUUCAACAUCGUGAAAAUCAACUACAUCCAUUGUGUUCGUGAGUGACAAACCAAUAUGUAAAAUCAAUUGUGUUCAUGUUUCUGAUUCACCGGUACGGAAGAUCGAUGGAACUCCAUUGCAAGCUGCUAGUGCUUCAACCAUCGGAGUUCUAAACCUCAAUCUCAAUCUUAUCUUCUUGUAAAAUCACUACACAGGAUUAUAUAGUCGAUAGAUGCAAGAGUAUUUAGAGAUUUACUUUGCAAUACUCCAUUGUUAAGCUCCUAGUUGGCUACUCUCGUUCUGCGCCACUUGAUCUGCAGCUCGCACCUCUCGCUCUACAUUACACAAUCCAGAACGCUCAUAAUCCUUUCCUGCUGUCCUCUCUUUCACUCAUCAGAAAAUGGAUCGUACUUGGAUGUACGAUAGGGUAUAUUCCAAUAGGCACGGAUUGAAACAAGAAUUUGUUCGUGGGGUUAAAGACUUUGUGAAGAGGGCUUUGAAACAACCCAUUUGUAAGUCUGAAGGAGGGAUAAGGUGUCCGUGUAUAAAAUGCAAGUGUCUCAAGAUAAGGACAGCAACUGAUGUUAGACUUCACUUGUAUCGAGAUGGAUUUCAACCAGAAUAUUGGAUUUGGACUCAACAUGGAGAAGUGGAGCUCAAUAUUGAUACAAGAGAUGGUUCAAAUAGUAGUGCGCAUAUGCGGCAUGACGACCAUUUUGAGGCAAUGAAUCAGAUGGUGUAUGAUGCUUUUAGGCCUU